UUGCUGUGAAAAAAACCGUGUCUAGAGAUGAAUUUUAAUUUCAGCGCUGACGGUAAACACAUCCCUCUAAGAAGUUCUGAGCUU
Molecule: small nucleolar RNA, 84 nt
Filed under: Eutrema salsugineum
Lineage: Eukaryota; Viridiplantae; Streptophyta; Magnoliopsida; Brassicales; Brassicaceae
Description: Small nucleolar RNA U61
Rfam family: Small nucleolar RNA U61
Source: Rfam by way of RNAcentral